This is a long non-coding RNA of Limulus polyphemus (Atlantic horseshoe crab), 903 nucleotides long. RefSeq lists it as uncharacterized. The transcript has 3 exons. Lineage: Eukaryota; Metazoa; Arthropoda; Merostomata; Xiphosura; Limulidae. The record is from RefSeq and is a predicted model, not a curated record.
UUGCCAUAAUUCAUCCAAUCAAGGCUCACAUUUACUGUUGUCGACGUCGUAUCCUCAUUGCGAUUAGUUCUAUCUGGCCCCUGGCUAUGAUCUGCGCUUCUCCAAAUCUAUUUCUACAUAAGCUUUACGAAGUAGAGCUUGGCUUUACUCCAUGUUUAAUGCUGUUUCCACGACCACUGUUCUUGUGGCUGUUCAAAUAUACAGAGUUUGCAGUGUUUUACCUGCUUCCAUUAAUUCUUCAAGUCAUCCUCUACAUCAAGAUAGGCCAACAUCUCUUCAGCAAGGCCAGUUUUCGAGCCAUAGAGCCAAGUAUCGGGAAAGAAAUGUUUGUCGGAACCAUGAGGGCACGACGUGGUGUUAUAAAGAUGUUGAUUGCAGGUGUCACUGUGUAUUUUCUCAGUUUCUCCCCACAUCAAGUUCUGUUGUUUUACAAUACCUUCUCCGAGACCCAUUUCCAAGAAACCUGGUCGUACCUGAUCUUCGUCAACAUCAUGAUCUACGUUUCCUCUGCCUGUAACCCUCUACUUUACAGUGUCUUCAGUGAAAAAUUUCGCCAGAAGUUUCGUAGUAUCCUGUGCUGCCACACUCCUGUGGCAAAGAGUAUUAAUCAUAUCACCACAAAUUUCGUCAGUCGUCGAAACAAGAACACCACAAAAAAUUUAAAAACAACUUUUACUGAAGUGUAAAGUAACAUACUUGACAAAGGUACAUGCUACCAGUAAAGGCCCCUGUGACUGUAAUGACGGUUUACGGUAUCACACUUAACAGAUGAAAUGAAGAACCAAAGAAAGGCACUUUGUUUACCUUUUUCAAAAACUUCCCUGACAAUUGUACUGUGGUAUUGCUUAAUUUUAUAUAAGUUUAUGUCUGCAGGUGAUUUGUGUGUUUUUCUUUCAUAAAACU